ACGGCGAGUGAAGCGGCAACAGCUCAAAUUUUGAAAUCUUGGCCCCAGGCCCGAGUUUGUAAUUUGCAGAGGAUGCUUUUGGCGCGGUGCCUUCCGAGUUCCCUGGAACGGGACGCCAUAGAGGGUGAGAGCCCCGUCUGGUCGGACACUAAGCCUCUGUAAAGCUCCUUCGACGAGUCGAGUAGUUUGGGAAUGCUGCUCAAAAUGGGAGGUAUAUGUCUUCUAAAGCUAAAUACCGGCCAGAGACCGAUAGCGCACAAGUAGAGUGAUCGAAAGAUGAAAAGCACUUUGAAAAGAGAGUUAAAUAGCACGUGAAAUUGUUGAAAGGGAAGCGUUCAUGACCAGACUUGGCCCGGUUGAUCAUCCAGCGUUCUCGCUGGUGCACUCUGCCGGUCCAGGCCAGCAUCAGUUCGUCGCGGGGGAUAAAGGCUUCGGGAAUGUAGCUCCCCUCGGGGAGUGUUAUAGCCCGCUGCGUAAUACCCUGCGGUGGACUGAGGUCCGCGCUUCUGCAAGGAUGCUGGCGUAAUGGUCAUCAACGACCCGUCUUGAAACACGGACCAAGGAGUCGUCUUCGUAUGCGAGUGUUCGGGUGUCAAACCCCUACGCGUAAUGAAAGUGAACGCAGGUGAGAGCUUCGGCGCAUCAUCGACCGAUCCUGAUGUUCUCGGAUGGAUUUGAGUAAGAGCAUACGGGGCCGGACCCGAAAGAAGGUGAACUAUGCCUGUAUAGGGUGAAGCCAGAGGAAACUCUGGUGGAGGCUCGCAGCGGUUCUGACGUGCAAAUCGAUCGUCAAAUAUGGGCAUGGGGGCGAAAGACUAAUCGAACCU
Molecule: ribosomal RNA, 827 nt
Filed under: Sarcopodium circinatum
Lineage: Eukaryota; Fungi; Ascomycota; Sordariomycetes; Hypocreales; Nectriaceae
Description: eukaryotic LSU rRNA
Rfam family: Eukaryotic large subunit ribosomal RNA
Source: RNAcentral